This 687-nucleotide ribosomal RNA is filed under the name uncultured marine alpha proteobacterium. Its description in RNAcentral is "bacterial SSU rRNA". It matches the Rfam family "Bacterial small subunit ribosomal RNA", at positions 837 to 1532 of the family's 1533-position model. The record is from RNAcentral. Lineage: Bacteria; Pseudomonadati; Pseudomonadota; Alphaproteobacteria.
UUUUCAGUGUCGCAGGGAAACCGAUAAACACACCGCCUGGGGAGUACGACCGCAAGGUUAAAACUCAAAUGAAUUGACGGGGACCCGCACAAGUAGUGGAGCAUGUGGUUUAAUUCGAAGAUACGCGCAGAACCUUACCAACACUUGACAUGUUCGUCGCGACUCUAAGAGAUUAGAGUUUUCGGUUCGGCCGGACGAAACACAGGUGCUGCAUGGCUGUCGUCAGCUCGUGUCGUGAGAUGUUGGGUUAAGUCCCGCAACGAGCGCAACCCUCACUUUUAGUUGCCAUCAUUAAGUUGGGCACUCUGAAAGAACUGCCAGUGAUAAGCUGGAGGAAGGUGGGGAUGACGUCAAGUCCUCAUGGCCCUUACGUGUUGGGCUACACACGUGCUACAAUGGUAUUUACAACAGGAAGCAAGACUGCGAAGUUAAGCAAAUCCCUAAAAGGUACCUCAGUUCGGAUUGCACUCUGCAACUCGAGUGCAUGAAGCUGGAAUUACUAGUAAUCGUGGAUCAGCGUGCCACGGUGAAUGCGUUCCCGGGUCUUGUACACACCGCCCGUCACACCAUGGGAGUUGGUUCUACCUUAAGGCAAGGUUUCAAACCCUUGACCACGGUAUAGUCAGCGACUGGGGUGAAGUCGUAACAAGGUAGCCGUAGGGGAACCUGCGGCUGGAUUACCUCCUU